GACAGAAUAUUUUUAAUUGUUUAAUACGUGUUUUGAAUGAAAAGGUGAAGCAUGUCCUGUCCCAGGCUGAGAACAUAGAGAUGGCACACCUGCUUGUCAAGAUUCUAAUGUCCCACUUCCAGGAACAUGAAGAUGGACUGGUUUUGCAUGCAGACGUUGCUGCAUCUGCAUCUGAUGUUGAGAAGACACUCAAUCUGCCUGCCAGUCCUCGUCUGAUUUUGCUGGGUAUGGCAGAGCCGGCAAAUGCUGUUUGGUAGAUGAUAAGCCUAGAGGGCUGUGUUAUUUGUGAGUGUGUC
Long non-coding RNA from Sinocyclocheilus rhinocerous, 296 nucleotides. RefSeq lists it as uncharacterized. The record is from RefSeq and is a predicted model, not a curated record. The transcript has 3 exons. NCBI's taxonomy places the organism in Eukaryota, Metazoa, Chordata, Actinopteri, Cypriniformes, Cyprinidae.